RNAcentral lists this long non-coding RNA (2325 nucleotides) under Mus musculus (house mouse). Its description in RNAcentral is "long non-coding RNA chr15:35589313-35591638". The record is from RNAcentral. Lineage: Eukaryota; Metazoa; Chordata; Mammalia; Rodentia; Muridae.
UUGAUGUCCUCUACCAUCAUCAUGAGAUAUGCUUUUAAAUCUAGGUCUAGGUUCUCAGGUGUGUUGGGGUUCCCUGGACUGGGCGAAGUGGGUGUGCUGGGUUCUGGUGAUGGUGAGUGGUCUUGGUUCCUGUUAGUAAGAUUCCUCCGUUUACCUUUCGCCAUCUGGUAAUCUCUGGAGUUAGUAGUUAUAGUUGACUCUGUUUAGAGAUUGUUCUUCUGGUGAUUCUGUUACCGUCUAUCAGCAGACCUGGGAGACAGAUUCUCUCCUCUGAGUUUCAGUGCUCAGAGCACUCUCUGCUGGCAAGCUCUCUUACAGGGAAGGUGCGCAGAUAUCUUGUAUUUGGACCUCCUCCUGGCCGAAGAAGAAGGCCCAAAACAGGACCUUUCUCAGACAGUGUGUUGCUUUGGCAGUUCCCAGGUGGUACAGACUCUCACCUAAGCAGACUAAAUUCCUAAGUUCCUUGGAGUCCCGGGACCAAGAUGGCGACCGCUGCUGCUGUGGCCCAGGCCGCCUCCCCAGCCGGGCGGGCACCCGUCCUCCGGUCCGGAAGGUGGCCGGCUGUCCCCGGCCCACACAGGGUGCUGCCUCAGCGCCUCUGUGCUUCUGCCCGUCCCAGAAGCUGUCAGGUUCUCUGGCGCACCCUCUCACCUGUUCAGACUAAUUUCCUAAGUUCGGCGGGUCCCGGACCAAGAUGGCGACCGCUGCUGCUGUGGCUUAGGCCGCCUCCCCAGCCGGGCGGGCACCCGUCCUCCGGUCCGGAAGGUGGCCGGCUGUCCCCGGCCCACACAGGGUGCUGCCUCAGCCCCUCUGUGCUUCUGCCUGUUCCAGAGGCUGUCAGGUUCUCUGGCGCACCCUCUCACCUGUUCAGACUAAUUUCCUAAGUUCGGCGGGUCUCGGACCAAGAUGGCGACCGCUGCCCAGAUCUUCUCUUUAGCAUGACUUAGUACCAGACACUCUGCACUGUCAGGACUUUGUUUUCAUAUUGGCUUAUCUUUCUUUUAGUGAUACAGGUUUCUUGGCUGUAGCAGUGUACAUGGCUAUGAUAACCUUAAACUCACAUUCCUAAUACUUUGUGAUAAAAACAAAACAGAUCUUGUUUAUUGUCUAUUGAAAGUAUACAUGAGAAGAAACUUACCUUACCUGUCCUGUAUCAUGUGGCUUUUCUUGCAUCCUUGCUAUGUAUCAGAUCAGUUGUUAAUGACGUUCCAGUGUUGUCACAGCCAUGUUUCUAAGUAGCAUGACACAUGAUACCAUAAAAUGAAAGGACAGCAUAAGCAUGGCCCAGAAAUAUAAUUUUUGAGCUAUUAUCAUUUGUUUUUUACUAAUAUUUCAAAUGAUUAGGCAUAGCAUAGUUAAAAAUGAGCAUAUUACAUAUAAACAACUAAAAUAGGUAUGUUACACUUAAAUCAGAUUGGAGACUUAAACAAGUGCCCUAAAAUAGAGCCAUAUCCCGCCCAAGGGCCCUACAACAGAGCCAUGUCUCCAGCCCAUAUUUGUGUGUGUGUGUGUGUGUUUUGUUUUCCUGAAAAGGGGCUCUUGCUAUGUAGCUCAUCAUGGGCUGGGUCUUGUGGUCUUCCAAUCUUGACUGUAGACUUCCUAGUGCUGGAACACAGGCUUUGAAACUCUGCCUUACUAUUUUGAUUUUUAGCUUACAGUUUAUAUUCAACCAAGGGAAAGGAAUUAGGACGUAUGUUUGUUGUGUUUAAUUCUGAGUUGCUCAGCUCUGGUUUGUACAAUUUAUUUCACAGCUUUAUCUAUUACAUUGUAAAAUUUCUCCCAGAAAUCCAUUAACUUGCUAUUAUAAAAAUGAUUUGAACUGUAAUGUCAGUUAGCUAUGAAGUUCUUUGAGGACACAUUGUGGUGUUAAUAUAAGUACAUUGCAAGUGUCUCAAAUAUGGAAUUCUUGGGAACGUUACUCUAGUUUUUAUAUGAAUUGGCAAGAACUCAGCAAAAAUUCAAAAUUUUUAAUGCAGUCUUCUCACUCCCUUUUAGCAGUCAGAAUGAGAUUAUAGUUUCCAGAUGAAAUUCCGUAUGUCACAUAGUGAUGACAUAUAUUUUCCUGGUUGGCUCAGCAUGAGAUGCGAUUUUGCAUGCCAUGUCACGCUGACUAGCAGAAUCCAAAAGCCAUUAUUUCCCAAGGGCCUUUAGAGUGAUAGCAUCGGAUGUUGUUUAUUUUAUGAUGAAAAGUCUCAAGCACUAUAAGCAGCUAGUCAGAUGCUUCUUAAAGCUGAAAAUACUAUCUAUCCAUUAUACAUUAAAAGCAAUUGAAAAGGUUACUUUCUCCUUCAGUUAUUUAAAUGUGUAUUCCCAAGUGAAGUCACC